Molecule: ribosomal RNA, 245 nt
Filed under: uncultured bacterium
Lineage: Bacteria
Description: partial 16S ribosomal RNA
Rfam family: Bacterial small subunit ribosomal RNA
Source: RNAcentral
UACGGAGGGUGCGAGCGUUGUUCGGAAUCACUGGGCGUAAAGGGCGCGUAGGCGGUUUGAUAAGUCAGAUGUGAAAGCCCACGGCUUAACUGUGGAAGUGCAUUUGAUACUGUCAGACUUGAGUACCAGAGGGGAAAGUGGAAUUCCCGGUGUAGAGGUGAAAUUCGUAGAUAUCGGGAGGAAUACCGGUGGCGAAAGCGACUUUCUGGCUGGAUACUGACGCUGAGGCGCGAAAGCGUGGGGAG